RNAcentral lists this ribosomal RNA (253 nucleotides) under uncultured prokaryote. RNAcentral describes it as "partial 16S ribosomal RNA". It matches the Rfam family "Bacterial small subunit ribosomal RNA", at positions 524 to 776 of the family's 1533-position model. The record is from RNAcentral.
UACGUAGGGAGCAAGCGUUGUUCGGAUUUACUGGGCGUAAAGGGCGCGUAGGCGGCGCGGUAAGUCAGCUGUGAAAUCUCCGAGCUUAACUCGGAACGGCCAGCUGAUACUGCAGUGCUAGAGUGCAGAAAGGGCAAUCGGAAUUCUUGGUGUAGCGGUGAAAUGCGUAGAUAUCAAGAGGAACACCUGAGGCGAAGGCGGGUUGCUAGGCUGACACUGACGCUGAGGCGCGAAAGCCAGGGGAGCAAACGGG